AUGGUCUCCUCACAGAAGGAACCCUGCCAGCUCUCACCAAUCCUAUGCAAACAGCUUAGAUAUAGACGAUAAAGCAUCUACUGGAUCAAUAGUUUCAACCUUUCCACCCUCCGAGCAUUUUAGAAACCUCAAGUGAGCUGGCCAAACUGAUGGAGAGACGGUGGCUGGCUUGCUGACAUAGUAUGACUGACACCAUAGAGAGUUUGGUGGUCCAAUACGGCUGAUGAUAAAACACCGCGGAAAAGAACACACGACUCUGGACAGGCCCAAAAUAAGGAAGCUGUAAAACCCUGGCCAAACACCACCAUUUGCCAAGAGAAAAGCCAACAUGGGGCCCAUCUGUCCUUCCCAGGGCUCUGCUCAUCCUGCCUUUGUGUGGCUGUCAGCCUCUACCCAGAGUGUCCCACUUCCCUCCUUGGUCACUUGACUGGGUGUUUUUUUCAUUAUCUUACUACAGAAAAACUUUCAUUCUGAAGUAUUUUGAAAAAGAAGUCCAAAAAGACAAGACGCCCUUUCCCUGACCAAACUGCAACCCAUCCUUGUCCUCACAGCCAUAUUGCUAUCAGCACAAGGAGCAAGGGCAGGGCCUAGCAAAAGGCCUUCUACCCAGGAGGUCUCAGCUAAGACCUAAGAAGCAAUCCCUCUUCCUACAGGACCCCGCAACAACUAAAAGGGCAGCCCUGAAGUCACCACACAGCAGUAGACCCCAUUGUCACCUCAUGGAAACUGACGCCCUUCCUGUGUUGCUGGACAUCGUGAAGUCUCAAAUGUUACUCAAAAAAACCACGGUCUUAGCCUUUUGCUCACCCUAGUUCAAUA
Non-coding RNA from Myodes glareolus (Bank vole), 819 nucleotides. The record is from RefSeq and is a predicted model, not a curated record. NCBI's taxonomy places the organism in Eukaryota, Metazoa, Chordata, Mammalia, Rodentia, Cricetidae.